AUGGAGCCGACCUUGAAAUACCACCCUUUAAUGUUUGAUGUUCUAACGUUGACCCGUAAUCCGGGUUGCGGACAGUGUCUGGUGGGUAGUUUGACUGGGGCGGUCUCCUCCUAAAGAGUAACGGAGGAGCACGAAGGUUGGCUAAUCCUGGUCGGACAUCAGGAGGUUAGUGCAAUGGCAUAAGCCAGCUUGACUGCGAGCGUGACGGCGCGAGCAGGUGCGAAAGCAGGUCAUAGUGAUCCGGUGGUUCUGAAUGGAAGGGCCAUCGCUCAACGGAUAAAAGGUACUCCGGGGAUAACAGGCUGAUACCGCCCAAGAGUUCAUAUCGACGGCGGUGUUUGGCACCUCGAUGUCGGCUCAUCACAUCCUGGGGCUGAAGUAGGUCCCAAGGGUAUGGCUGUUCGCCAUUUAAAGUGGUACGCGAGCUGGGUUUAGAACGUCGUGAGACAGUUCGGUCCCUAUCUGCCGUGGGCGCUGGAGAACUGAGGGGGGCUGCUCCUAGUACGAGAGGACCGGAGUGGACGCAUCACUGGUGUUCGGGUUGUCAUGCCAAUGGCACUGCCCGGUAGCUAAAUGCGGAAGAGAUAAGUGCUGAAAGCAUCUAAGCACGAAACUUGCCCCGAGAUGAGUUCUCCCUGACUCCUUGAGAGUCCUGAAGGAACGUUGAAGACGACGACGUUGAUAGGCCGGGUGUGUAAGCGCAGCGAUGCGUUGAGCUAACCGGUACUAAUGAACCGU
RNAcentral lists this ribosomal RNA (738 nucleotides) under Escherichia coli. Its description in RNAcentral is "partial 23S ribosomal RNA". It matches the Rfam family "Bacterial large subunit ribosomal RNA", at positions 2180 to 2912 of the family's 2925-position model. The record is from RNAcentral. Lineage: Bacteria; Pseudomonadati; Pseudomonadota; Gammaproteobacteria; Enterobacterales; Enterobacteriaceae.